GCCCUGUUCGCCUAGCGGUUAGGGUACCAGACUUUCACUCUGGGGGCGUCGGUUCGAAUCCGAUACAGGGAACCA
RNAcentral lists this transfer RNA (75 nucleotides) under compost metagenome. Its description in RNAcentral is "tRNA-Glu". It matches the Rfam family "tRNA". From Rfam's summary of the family: Transfer RNA (tRNA) molecules are approximately 80 nucleotides in length. Their secondary structure includes four short double-helical elements and three loops (D, anti-codon, and T loops). Further hydrogen bonds mediate the characteristic L-shaped molecular structure. tRNAs have two regions of fundamental functional importance: the anti-codon, which is responsible for specific mRNA codon recognition, and the 3' end, to which the tRNAs corresponding amino acid is attached (by aminoacyl-tRNA synthetases). tRNAs cope with the degeneracy of the genetic code in two manners: having more than one tRNA (with a specific anti-codon) for a particular amino acid; and 'wobble' base-pairing, i.e. permitting non-standard base-pairing at the 3rd anti-codon position. The record is from RNAcentral.